UCUAUUUUUUUUGGGCCAGGACCCAAUUGCCCAGCCCAUUCCAGGGUCGACCCAGACCCCUCAGCCGACCUAGAUCUGACCCAAUUCCCUCAAUCCCCCUUUAACAAAUAACAGCAGACCAACAACAACUUGAAUCCAGCUUCAACAACCGACAACUUCAACUCUCAACAUAAAACACAACACCAAUACUCCAAUAUCAAAAUAAAAAAAAAUUAACGCGAAACAACAACAACCAAUGCAUCAAUAACAGUAAUUUCAAAACAACAGUAAAUCAAGUCAACAAAGACAACUAUUAAUCUGGAUUUUCUCAAAAUCGUUCGAUCUGAUAUGAACACGGACGAUCAUGAUUAUUCAUUUUUAAAUUUCAAAUUUUUCAUCCUCAAUUUCUUAUUUGUUUCCUCCUUAAAAUCAGUCCAAAACCUCCUAUAAGUACCCAUUGAAGAACAAAAGGGAGGGAGGAGGAUUUUGAGCAAAAAUUUGAGGAUUCGGGAGGUGCGUGCUUCUAAUCCUACACAAUCAAAAAUCCUAAAAGAAAUAGACUCAAAAACUCGAUUAAAAAAGAUUAAACUCUGAAGGAUCGGGAUUCAAACUCCGGUGGUGAAAGUCCAUCGCCAAGGUUCGUUUGUCCUAGUUUGCUGCCCUAAAAAAGGUCGUAGAUGAUAAGUGGUAGAUGAAUGUCGGUCGGCUUUGGAAAUUUUUUUUAGUUUACAGGUGGUAAAUGACGAUCGACUUUGAGAAUUUUUUUGGUAAAGGUUAGGUUUAAUUAAAUAAAUUCUUCAAAAGAUGUUGAGUUUAAUUAUUGUAUUAAUUUUUAUUAUGUAAACAAAUAUUCUAUUUAAUGUAACGUUUGAACUCAAUAAAGUGAGUUACACGCGCGAGUCGCGUACACCUUAAAAAAUACGAAGCACCUUAGUGAACUAUUGUUCAACUUCUUUACUUUUU
Long non-coding RNA from Capsicum annuum, 942 nucleotides. RefSeq lists it as uncharacterized. The record is from RefSeq and is a predicted model, not a curated record. Lineage: Eukaryota; Viridiplantae; Streptophyta; Magnoliopsida; Solanales; Solanaceae. The transcript has 3 exons.